RNAcentral lists this ribosomal RNA (1306 nucleotides) under Streptomyces sp. NTHn1. Its description in RNAcentral is "bacterial SSU rRNA". It matches the Rfam family "Bacterial small subunit ribosomal RNA", at positions 106 to 1404 of the family's 1533-position model. The record is from RNAcentral. Lineage: Bacteria; Bacillati; Actinomycetota; Actinomycetes; Kitasatosporales; Streptomycetaceae.
GUGAGUAACACGUGGGCAAUCUGCCCUGCACUCUGGGACAAGCCCUGGAAACGGGGUCUAAUACCGGAUACUGACCCUCACGGGCAUCUGUGAGGUUCGAAAGCUCCGGCGGUGCAGGAUGAGCCCGCGGCCUAUCAGCUUGUUGGUGAGGUAAUGGCUCACCAAGGCGACGACGGGUAGCCGGCCUGAGAGGGCGACCGGCCACACUGGGACUGAGACACGGCCCAGACUCCUACGGGAGGCAGCAGUGGGGAAUAUUGCACAAUGGGCGAAAGCCUGAUGCAGCGACGCCGCGUGAGGGAUGACGGCCUUCGGGUUGUAAACCUCUUUCAGCAGGGAAGAAGCGAAAGUGACGGUACCUGCAGAAGAAGCGCCGGCUAACUACGUGCCAGCAGCCGCGGUAAUACGUAGGGCGCGAGCGUUGUCCGGAAUUAUUGGGCGUAAAGAGCUCGUAGGCGGCUUGUCACGUCGGUUGUGAAAGCCCGGGGCUUAACCCCGGGUCUGCAGUCGAUACGGGCAGGCUAGAGUUCGGUAGGGGAGAUCGGAAUUCCUGGUGUAGCGGUGAAAUGCGCAGAUAUCAGGAGGAACACCGGUGGCGAAGGCGGAUCUCUGGGCCGAUACUGACGCUGAGGAGCGAAAGCGUGGGGAGCGAACAGGAUUAGAUACCCUGGUAGUCCACGCCGUAAACGGUGGGCACUAGGUGUGGGCAACAUUCCACGUUGUCCGUGCCGCAGCUAACGCAUUAAGUGCCCCGCCUGGGGGAGUACGGCCGCAAGGCUAAAACUCAAAGGAAUUGACGGGGGCCCGCACAAGCGGCGGAGCAUGUGGCUUAAUUCGACGCAACGCGAAGAACCUUACCAAGGCUUGACAUACACCGGAAACGUUUAAGAGAUGGCGCCCCCCUUGUGGUCGGUGUACAGGGGGGUGCAUGGCUGUCGUCAGCUCGUGUCGUGAAAAUGUUGGGGUUAAGUCCCGCAACGAGCGCAACCUUUGUCCCGUGUUGCAGCAGGCCCUUGGUGGUGCUGGGGACUCACGGGAGACCGCGGGGUCAAUUCGGAAGGAAGGUGGGGGACGACGUCAAGUCAUCAUGCCCCUUAUGUCUUGGGCUGCACACGUGCUACAAUGGGCCGGUACAAUGAGCUGCGAUACCCGCGAGGGUGGAACGAAUCUCAAAAGGCCGUCUCCAAUUUUGGGAUUGGGUGUUGCAACUCCCCCCCCUGAAGUCGGAAUCCCUAUGAAUCCGAAACAACCAUUUGUUGCGGUGAGAAACUUUCCCGGGCCUUUGUAACCCCCGCGCCUCAGUUAC